AUUGAACGCUGGCGGCAGGCCUAACACAUGCAAGUCGAGCGGAUGAAGGGAGCUUGCUCCUGGAUUCAGCGGCGGACGGGUGAGUAAUGCCUAGGAAUCUGCCUGGUAGUGGGGGAUAACGUCCGGAAACGGGCGCUAAUACCGCAUACGUCCUGAGGGAGAAAGUGGGGGAUCUUCGGACCUCACGCUAUCAGAUGAGCCUAGGUCGGAUUAGCUAGUUGGUGGGGUAAAGGCCUACCAAGGCGACGAUCCGUAACUGGUCUGAGAGGAUGAUCAGUCACACUGGAACUUAGACACGGCCCAGACUCCUACGGGAGGCAGCAGUGGGGAAUAUUGGACAAUGGGCGAAAGCCUGAUCCAGCCAUGCCGCGUGUGUGAAGAAGGUCUUCGGAUUGUAAAGCACUUUAAGUUGGGAGGAAGGGCAGUAAGUUAAUACCUUGCUGUUUUGACGUUACCAACAGAAUAAGCACCGGCUAACUUCGUG
This 484-nucleotide ribosomal RNA is filed under the name uncultured bacterium. Its description in RNAcentral is "partial 16S ribosomal RNA". It matches the Rfam family "Bacterial small subunit ribosomal RNA", at positions 30 to 507 of the family's 1533-position model. The record is from RNAcentral.